RNAcentral lists this ribosomal RNA (369 nucleotides) under uncultured bacterium. Its description in RNAcentral is "bacterial SSU rRNA". It matches the Rfam family "Bacterial small subunit ribosomal RNA", at positions 30 to 407 of the family's 1533-position model. The record is from RNAcentral.
AUUGAACGCUGGCGGAAUGCCUAACACAUGCAAGUCGAACGAGGUGUAGCAAUACACCUAGUGGCGGACGGGUGAGGAACACAUAGGAAUCUACCUUUUAGUGGGGGAUAACCCGGGGAAACUCGGAUUAAUACCGCAUACGAUCUACGGAUGAAAGUGGGGGACCGCAAGGCCUCACGCUGUUAGAUGAGCCUAUGUCCGAUUAGCUAGUUGGUAGGGUAAUGGCCUACCAAGGCGACGAUCGGUAGCUGGUUUGAGAGAACGAUCAGCCACACUGGAACUGAGACACGGUCCAGACUCCUACGGGAGGCAGCAGUGGGGAAUAUUGGACAAUGGGCGCAAGCCUGAUCCAGCAAUUCCGCGUGGGUG